AGUGAACGCUGGCGGUAGGCCUAACACAUGCAAGUCGAACGGCAGCACAGUAAGAGCUUGCUCUUACGGGUGGCGAGUGGCGGACGGGUGAGGAAUACAUCGGAAUCUACUUUUUCGUGGGGGAUAACGUAGGGAAACUUACGCUAAUAUCGCAUACGACCUACGGGUGAAAGCAGGGGAUCUUCGGCCCUUGCGCGAUUGAAUGAGCCGAUGUCGGAUUAGCUGGUUGGCGGGGUAAAGGCCCACCAAGGCGACGAUCCGUAGCUGGUCUGAGAGGAUGAUCAGCCACACUGGAACGGGGACACGGUCCAGACUCCUACGGGAGGCAGCAGUGGGGAAUAUUGGACAAUGGUGGCAAGCCUGGUCCAGCCAUACCGCGUGGGUGAAGAAGGCCUUCGGGUUGUAAAGCCCUUUUGUUGGUAAAGAAAAGCAGCAGGUUAAUACCCCGCUGUUCUGACGGUACCCAAAGAAUAAGCACCGGCUAACUUCGUG
RNAcentral lists this ribosomal RNA (492 nucleotides) under uncultured bacterium. RNAcentral's name for it is "partial 16S ribosomal RNA". It matches the Rfam family "Bacterial small subunit ribosomal RNA", at positions 29 to 507 of the family's 1533-position model. The record is from RNAcentral.